GAUGAACGCUGGCGGCGUGCCUAAUACAUGCAAGUCGAGCGAACAGAUGAGGAGCUUGCUCCUCUGACGUUAGCGGCGGACGGGUGAGUAACACGUGGAUAACCUACCUAUAAGACUGGGAUAACUUCGGGAAACCGGAGCUAAUACCGGAUAAUAUAUUGAACCGCAUGGUUCAAUAGUGAAAGACGGUUUUGCUGUCACUUAUAGAUGGAUCCGCGCCGCAUUAGCUAGUUGGUAAGGUAACGGCUUACCAAGGCGACGAUGCGUAGCCGACCUGAGAGGGUGAUCGGCCACACUGGAACUGAGACACGGUCCAGACUCCUACGGGAGGCAGCAGUAGGGAAUCUUCCGCAAAGGGCGAAAGCUUGACGGAGCAACGCCGCGUGAGUGAUGAAGGUCUUCGGAUCGUAAAACUCUGUUAUUAGGGAAGAACAAAUGUGUAAGUAACUAUGCACGUCUUGACAGUACCUAAUCAGAAAGCCACGGCUAACUACGUG
This 497-nucleotide ribosomal RNA is filed under the name uncultured bacterium. RNAcentral describes it as "partial 16S ribosomal RNA". It matches the Rfam family "Bacterial small subunit ribosomal RNA", at positions 28 to 507 of the family's 1533-position model. The record is from RNAcentral.